UACAAAGGACACUGCAGCUGAC
RNAcentral lists this non-coding RNA (22 nucleotides) under Rattus norvegicus (Norway rat). Lineage: Eukaryota; Metazoa; Chordata; Mammalia; Rodentia; Muridae. The record is from RNAcentral.